GACGAACGCUGGCGGCGUGCCUAAUACAUGCAAGUAGAACGCUGAAGGAGGAGCUUGCUUCUCUGGAUGAGUUGCGAACGGGUGAGUAACGCGUAGGUAACCUGCCUGGUAGCGGGGGAUAACUAUUGGAAACGAUAGCUAAUACCGCAUAAUAGUAGAUGUUGCAUGACAUUUGCUUAGAAGGUGCAAUUGCAUCACUACCAGAUGGACCUGCGUUGUAUUAGCUAGUUGGUGGGGUAACGGCUCACCAAGGCGACGAUACAUAGCCGACCUGAGAGGGGGAUCGGCCACACUGGGACUGAGACACGGCCCAGACUCCUACGGGAGGCAGCAGUAGGGAAUCUUCGGCAAUGGACGGAAGUCUGACCGAGCAACGCCGCGUGAGUGAAGAAGGUUUUCGGAUCGUAAAGCUCUGUUGUAAGAGAAGAACGAGUGUGAGAGUGGAAAGUUCACACUGUGACGGUAUCUUACCAGAAAGGGACGGCUAACUACGUG
RNAcentral lists this ribosomal RNA (495 nucleotides) under uncultured bacterium. Its description in RNAcentral is "partial 16S ribosomal RNA". It matches the Rfam family "Bacterial small subunit ribosomal RNA", at positions 28 to 507 of the family's 1533-position model. The record is from RNAcentral.